This is a non-coding RNA of Oncorhynchus mykiss (rainbow trout), 308 nucleotides long. Lineage: Eukaryota; Metazoa; Chordata; Actinopteri; Salmoniformes; Salmonidae. The record is from RefSeq and is a predicted model, not a curated record.
AUCAUUCCUGGGUUGUUUCAGGUUAGGUACGGGAUCGUUCCUGAGUUGUUUCAGGUUAGGUACGGGAUCGUUCCUGAGUUGUUUCAGGUUAGGUACGGGAUCGUUCCUGGGUUGUUUCAGGUUAGGUACGGGAUUGUUCCUGAGUUGUUUCAGGUUAGGAUCGUUCCUGAGUUGUUUCAGGUUAGGUACGGGAUCAUUCCUGGGUUGUUUCAGGUUAGGUACGGGAUCGUUCCUGAGUUGUUUCAGGUUAGGUACGGGAUCGUUCCUGAGUUGUUUCAGGUUAGGUACGGGAUCGUUCCUGAGUUGUU